This 76-nucleotide transfer RNA is filed under the name Actinomycetota bacterium. RNAcentral's name for it is "tRNA-Met". It matches the Rfam family "tRNA". From Rfam's summary of the family: Transfer RNA (tRNA) molecules are approximately 80 nucleotides in length. Lineage: Bacteria; Bacillati; Actinomycetota. The record is from RNAcentral.
GGCGGUGUAGCUCAGUGGUUAGAGCACACGGUUCAUACCCGUGAAGUCAGUGGUUCGAAUCCACUCACCGCUACCA